CCUACGGGAGGCAGCAGUGGGGAAUAUUGGGCAAUGGGCGCAAGCCUGACCCAGCAACGCCGCGUGAAGGAAGAAGGCUUUCGGGUUGUAAACUUCUUUUCUGAGGGACGAAGAAAGUGACGGUCCCUCAGGACUAAGCCAACGCUAACUACGAGCAAGCAGCCGCGGCAAUACGUAGGUGGCAAGCGUUAUCCGGAUUUAUUGGGUGUAAAGGGGGUGUAGGCGGGAAAGGCAGUCAGGUGUGAAAACUCAGGGCUCAACCCUGUGCCUGCAGUUGAAACUGUUUUUCUUGAGUGCGGGAGAGGCAAGCGGAAUUCCGUGUGUAGCGGUGAAAUGCGUAGAUAUACGGAGGAACACCAGUGGCGAAGGCGGCUUGCUGGACAGUAACUGACGCUGAGGCGCGAAAGCGUGGGGAGCAAACAGGAUUAGAUACCCUUGUAGUC
This 443-nucleotide ribosomal RNA is filed under the name uncultured bacterium. Its description in RNAcentral is "partial 16S ribosomal RNA". It matches the Rfam family "Bacterial small subunit ribosomal RNA", at positions 338 to 795 of the family's 1533-position model. The record is from RNAcentral.